RNAcentral lists this ribosomal RNA (329 nucleotides) under uncultured eukaryote. Its description in RNAcentral is "partial 18S ribosomal RNA". It matches the Rfam family "Eukaryotic small subunit ribosomal RNA", at positions 1470 to 1796 of the family's 1831-position model. The record is from RNAcentral.
CCCUUAGAUGUUCUGGGCCGCACGCGUGCUACACUGAUGCAUUCAACGAGUCUAAAACCUGCUCUGAUAGGGGUGGGUAAUCUUUUGAAUGUGCAUCGUGAUUGGGAUAGAUGAUUGCAAUUUUUCAUCUUCAACGAGGAAUGCCUAGUAAACGCAAGUCAUCAGCUUGCAUUGAUUACGUCCCUGCCCUUUGUACACACCGCCCGUCGCUCCUACCGAUUGAAUGAUCCGAUGAAUAUCAUGGAUUGAGGAUGUAAGCAGGUUCGCCUGUCUUCAUCUUCGAGAAGUGAAGUAAAUCUUAUCAUUUAGAGGAAGGAGAAGUCGUAACA